This 432-nucleotide ribosomal RNA is filed under the name uncultured bacterium. RNAcentral describes it as "bacterial SSU rRNA". It matches the Rfam family "Bacterial small subunit ribosomal RNA", at positions 30 to 455 of the family's 1533-position model. The record is from RNAcentral.
AUUGAACGCUGGCGGCAUGCUUUACACAUGCAAGUCGAACGGCAGCACGGGUGCUUGCACCUGGUGGCGAGUGGCGGACGGGUGAGUAAUACAUCGGAACGUGUCCUGAAGUGGGGGAUAACGCAUCGAAAGAUGUGCUAAUACCGCAUAUACUCUAAGGAGGAAAGUAGGGGAUCGAAAGACCUUAUGCUUUUGGAGCGGCCGAUGUCUGAUUAGCUAGUUGGUAAGGUAAUGGCUUACCAAGGCGACGAUCAGUAGUUGGUCUGAGAGGACGACCAGCCACACUGGGACUGAGACACGGCCCAGACUCCUACGGGAGGCAGCAGUGGGGAAUUUUGGACAAUGGGCGCAAGCCUGAUCCAGCAAUGCCGCGUGAGUGAAGAAGGGCCUCGGGUUGUAAGGACGUACUUUCUAGUCGUAGAAGAAAAGAAG